UUGGCUCGGUCUAUAUGGUCAGUCAUCCAGAUAGUUUCUGGCUUAUAUCCUCCUUAUAGUGUUGCUAAUGUAUUUGGCAACUGGUUACAUGGGAUUGGUCACGGGUUUAGAACUCUUCUUAGGGUUGGAGCACUUGCUGUUAUUUGGUCACUUUGGCUAUGUAGAAAUGAUAAGGUUUUUAACGAUAAAAGUACUUUUCUAAUGCAGGUUAUUUACAGAUGUACCAGGACUCUUCGUUUAUGGCUCUCUCUACAACGCGUGGAGAAUCGAGACAUAUUUAUUGAGAUGUGUACACGAUUGGGAGAUACGGCGAGGGAUACUUUUACCCAACAUGGGUGGCAACAUGAUCUUAAGAUUGGCCCACCUCGCUUUAGGCGUUAUACGGACUCUACAUGUUUUUUUGUAUUACACCUUUUAUUUUUCGUUUAUACAAGAGGACUCUGUUUGACCGUGUGCAUCUUAUUUAUGCAGAGGCCAGGUUUAAUACUUAAACCUUUUAAGUAA
Molecule: ribosomal RNA, 504 nt
Filed under: Triticum aestivum (bread wheat)
Lineage: Eukaryota; Viridiplantae; Streptophyta; Magnoliopsida; Poales; Poaceae
Description: partial small subunit ribosomal RNA
Source: RNAcentral